Molecule: ribosomal RNA, 429 nt
Filed under: Verrucomicrobiota bacterium
Lineage: Bacteria; Pseudomonadati; Verrucomicrobiota
Description: Verrucomicrobia bacterium partial 16S ribosomal RNA
Rfam family: Bacterial small subunit ribosomal RNA
Source: RNAcentral
UAGGGAAUCUUCCGCAAUGGACGAAAGUCUGACGGAGCAACGCCGCGUGAGUGAAGAAGGAUUUCGGUUCGUAAAACUCUGUUGUUAGGGAAGAAAAAAUGUAUAGUAACUAUAUACAAAAGAGACGGUACCUAACCAGAAAGCCACGGCUAACUACGUGCCAGCAGCCGCGGUAAUACGUAGGUGGCAAGCGUUGUCCGGAAUUAUUGGGCGUAAAGCGCGCGCAGGUGGUUUAGAAAGUCUGAUGUGAAAGCCCACGGCUCAACCGUGGAGGGUCAUUGGAAACUAAUAGACUUGAGUGCAGGAGAGAGAAGUGGAAUUCCGAGUGUAGCGGUGAAAUGCGUAGAGAUUAGGAGGAACACCGGUGGCGAAAGCGGCUUUUUGGCCUGCAACUGACACUGAGGCGCGAAAGCGUGGGGAGCAAACAGG